Molecule: ribosomal RNA, 707 nt
Filed under: uncultured bacterium
Lineage: Bacteria
Description: bacterial SSU rRNA
Rfam family: Bacterial small subunit ribosomal RNA
Source: RNAcentral
GACAUCAACGCUGGCGGCAGGUUGAACACAUGCAAGUCGAGCGCCCAGCAAUGGGAGCGGCGGACGGGUGAGUAACACGUGGGAACAUGCCUUUCGGUACGGAACAACUUCGGGAAACUGAAGCUAAUGCCGUAUGCGCCCUUACGGGGAAAGAUUUAUCGCCGAAAGAUUGGCCCGCGUCUGAUUAGCUAGUUGGUGAGGUAACGGCUCACCAAGGCUUCGAUCAGUAGCUGGUUUGAGAGAACGACCAGCCACACUGGGACUGAGACACGGCCCAGACUCCUACGGGAGGCAGCAGUGGGGGAUCUUGGACAAUGGGGGCAACCCUGAUCCAGCCAUGCCGCGUGAGUGAUGAAGGCCUUCGGGUUGUAAAACUCUUUUACCAGGGAAGAUAAUGACUGUACCUGGAGAAUAAGCCCCGGCUAACUUCGUGCCAGCAGCCGCGGUAAUACGAAGGGGGCUAGCGUUGUUCGGAAUUACUGGGCGUAAAGCGCGCGCAGGCGGUUCUUCAAGUUCAGGGGUGAAAGCCCAAAACCUCAACUUUAGAAUUGCCUUUGAAACUGUAGAACUUUGAGUUCCAAAAGAAGUGAACCGGAAUUUCCCAGUGUAAAAGUGAAAAUUCGUAAAAUUUUGGGAAAGAACACCCGUUGGCCAAAGGCGGCUUAACUGGCCUCGUUAACUGAACGCUAGCCCCGACAACCGUGGGG